CAGUAGCCGCGGUAAUACGUAGGUGGCAAGCGUUGUCCGGAAUUAUUGGGCGUAAAGCGCGCGCAGGUGGUUUAAUAAGUCUGAUGUGAAAGCCCACGGCUCAACCGUGGAGGGUCAUUGGAAACUGUUAAACUUGAGUGCAGGAGAGGAAAGUGGAAUUCCUAGUGUAGCGGUGAAAUGCGUAGAGAUUAGGAGGAACACCAGUGGCGAAGGCGGCUUUUUGGCCUGUAACUGACACUGAGGCGCGAAAGCGUGGGGAGCAAACAGGAUUAGAUACCACAGUAGUCCCUGUCUCUUAUAC
Molecule: ribosomal RNA, 301 nt
Filed under: uncultured bacterium
Lineage: Bacteria
Description: partial 16S ribosomal RNA
Rfam family: Bacterial small subunit ribosomal RNA
Source: RNAcentral